UUUUUAAUUGACAUAGACCAAGUCCUCCAGUAAAAUGAGUAUUAUGCAUCGGGAAUAGCC
Molecule: transfer RNA, 60 nt
Filed under: Ampelocissus abyssinica
Lineage: Eukaryota; Viridiplantae; Streptophyta; Magnoliopsida; Vitales; Vitaceae
Description: partial tRNA-Phe
Source: RNAcentral